GGAGAUGUGGCUCAGUGGUAGAUUACUUGCUUUGCAGGUGCGAGACCCUGGGUUCAAUCCUCAGCACCA
RNAcentral lists this transfer RNA (69 nucleotides) under Marmota monax (woodchuck). RNAcentral's name for it is "tRNA.Ala". The record is from RNAcentral. Lineage: Eukaryota; Metazoa; Chordata; Mammalia; Rodentia; Sciuridae.